Molecule: ribosomal RNA, 534 nt
Filed under: Calanoida sp. CP7
Lineage: Eukaryota; Metazoa; Arthropoda; Copepoda; Calanoida
Description: SSU rRNA
Rfam family: Eukaryotic small subunit ribosomal RNA
Source: RNAcentral
GUCUCAAAGAUUAAGCCAUGCAUGUCUAAGUACAAGCCUCACUAAGGUGAAACCGCGAAUGGCUCAUUAAAUCACACCUAAUCUACUGGAUAGAAAAAAGUUACUUGGAUAACUGCGGUAAUUCUGGAGCUAAUACAUGCACAAAGCCUCAACCUUACGGGAGAGGCGCUUUUAUUAGAUCAAAACCAAACGGCUUCGGCUGUACUCUUGGUGACUCUGAAUAACUUUGGGCUGAUCGCAUAGCCUUGAGCUGGCGACAUAUCCUUCGAAGGUGUGCCCUAUCAACUGUCGACUGUGGCAUAGACGCCCACAGUGGUUUUGACGGGUAACGGGGAAUCAGGGUUCGAUUCCGGAGAGGGAGCCUUAAAAACGGCUACCACAUCUAAGGAAGGCAGCAGGCACGCAAAUUACCCAAUGACCGAAGGUCGAGGUAGUGACGAAAAAUAACGAUAGAGGACUCAUCCGAGGCCCUCUAAUUGGAAUGAUUACACUUUAAAACCGUCUCAGAGGAUCUAUUGGAGGGCAAGUCUGGUG